RNAcentral lists this ribosomal RNA (459 nucleotides) under uncultured bacterium. RNAcentral describes it as "partial 16S ribosomal RNA". It matches the Rfam family "Bacterial small subunit ribosomal RNA", at positions 338 to 795 of the family's 1533-position model. The record is from RNAcentral.
CCUACGGGUGGCAGCAGUGAGGAAUAUUGGUCAAUGGGCGGGAGCCUGAACCAGCCAAGCCGCGUGAGGGAAGAAGGUACAGCGUAUCGUAAACCUCUUUUGUCAGGGAACAAAGGCGGGGACUAGUCCCCGGAUGAGGGUACCUGAAGAAAAAGCAUCGGCUAACUCCGUGCCAGCAGCCGCGGUAAUACGGAGGAUGCGAGCGUUAUCCGGAUUUAUUGGGUUUAAAGGGUGCGCAGGCGGUCUGUUAAGUCAGCGGUCAAAGCCCGGGGCUCAACCCCGGCCCGCCGUUGAAACUGGCAGUCUCGAGUUGGAGAGAAGUAUGCGGAAUGCGCGGUGUAGCGGUGAAAUGCAUAGAUAUCGCGCAGAACUCCGAUUGCGAAGGCAGCAUGCCGGCUCCACACUGACGCUGAGGCACGAAAGCGUGGGUAUCGAACAGGAUUAGAUACCCUUGUAGUC